Molecule: long non-coding RNA, 361 nt
Filed under: Elaeis guineensis (African oil palm)
Lineage: Eukaryota; Viridiplantae; Streptophyta; Magnoliopsida; Arecales; Arecaceae
Description: long non-coding RNA (EGUI_LNC020658)
Source: RNAcentral
UCCUAAUGUGCUUGGGUCUCGCCGGAGAAGAAGACUCCUACCGGGAGUCUUCUUCUCGAUUUUUACUCUAUUUUUUUUUUCAUUUUGGGCUUGGGUCUGUUAAUCUAGCUUGGGCUUGGGCUAUGACAUUCUUCACCCCUAAAAAGAAAUUUCAUCCUCGAAAUUUUUCAUACCUAUCACCAUUGUAUUGGAAGCCUGUGGAUUCUGUUGAGUAAGCGCAUAAACUCUUCCCUGGGUUUUAGAAAUCUGUCCGCCACCCUUAUGUUGUCCUUCAUGAGUUCUUUUGCCAGCUUGAUUUUCAGUAUUUAGCGGGCAGCUAAAAAUUUUAUGAUCCUUCUGACCACAUUUGAAACAAGCACCG